Molecule: transfer RNA, 72 nt
Filed under: bovine gut metagenome
Rfam family: tRNA
About the family: Transfer RNA (tRNA) molecules are approximately 80 nucleotides in length.
Source: RNAcentral
AAGGUUAGCUCAGCUGGUUUAGAGCACCUGCCUUACAAGCAGGGGGUCACUGGUUCGAAUCCAGUACUUUCC